UUUGGAACUAGAACUUGCAUUUAAUGGAGGGGAGACAGAGUUGUUCAUUAAUAGUUGGUGUGGCUACAAAUUUUAUGAUGUUGAUUUUGGUUGGGACAAACCUUUAUGGGUUAGUCAAAUCAACCUGCCAGUCAAGAAUUUUAUUCUACUGAUGGAUUCAAGAGACAGUGGUGGAAUAGAUGCAUGGGUAUAUUUAAAGGAGCAAGACAGGAAAGCUUUUGAGCAAGAGCUUGUUGACCAGAUAGCAAUUGGAUCUGCCAAAUAGUUGAAGAACAUGUUGUCAAGGGUUGUUAUGGGUGUAUUUGGUAAGAAGGAAUUUUUAAAGUAAUUUUAUGAUAACUAAUAAAACUAUUUUUCUUGUAAAAUAUUUUUCAUUAAAAUGGAAAAAGAUAACUCUCUUCGUUUGUGUUUUUAUCAUUAGUCAAAUCGACCUGCCAAUCAAGAAUUUUAUUCUACUGAUGGAUUCAAGAGACAGUGGUGGAAUAAAUGCAUGGGUAAAUUUAAAGGAGCAAGACAUGAAAGCUUUUGAGCAAGAGCUUAUUCACCAGAUAGCAAUUGGAUCUGCCAAAUAGUUGAAGAACAUGUUGUCAAGGGUCGUUAUGGGUGUAUUUGGUAAGAAGGAAUUUUUUCAAGUAAUUUUGUGAUAACUAAUUAAACUAUUUUUCUUGUAAAAUAUUUUUCAUUAAAAAGGAAAAAUAUAACUUUCUUCGUUUGUGUUUUUCUCUGUUAGUCAAUUUGAAAUAAUUUCUAAAUGUUAGAGACGGUUCGAUAGUAUAAUAAAGUUUCUUCUGCAAUAAAGAUCAAAUAUAUUUUCCUUCCUACCAAACACACGUUAUAUCUAUGUUUCUUCUGCAAUAAAGAUCAAAUGUAUUUUCCUUCCUACCAAACACACGUUAUAUCUACUUUUGUUUCUUUUGAAAAAAUAUGUUCCUCCCAUAAGUAUACAAGUGCAAUACUUUGGGAUAUGGACUAAAUAAAGUUAGACGCACUUUGAGAACUCGUAUGUACAAUUUCAAUAGUUUGGACGUCGGUAUUGUGACAC
RNAcentral lists this long non-coding RNA (1042 nucleotides) under Nicotiana benthamiana. Its description in RNAcentral is "long non-coding RNA (NBEN_LNC023603)". The record is from RNAcentral. Lineage: Eukaryota; Viridiplantae; Streptophyta; Magnoliopsida; Solanales; Solanaceae.